CGCCUCUUGCUCAAUAUGUAUAAGAGGUCCCGCCUGCCCAGUGACACCAUGUUCAACGGCCGCGGUAUUUUGACCGUGCGAAGGUAGCGUAAUCACUUGUCUUUUAAAUGAAGACUGGUAUGAACGGCAUCACGAAGACCUUACUGUCUCCUAUAUCCAAUCAGUGAAACUGAUCUCCCCGUGAAGAAGCGGGGAUUUCAACAUAAGACGAGAAGACCCCAUGGAGCUUUAAACUUAAAUCACUUGCUUCAAUUAUAAACCCACGGAACAAGCACUUAACUAAGCAAUGAUGAUCUAUGUUUUCGGUUGGGGCGACCACGGAGAAUAAUAAAUCCUCCUCGAUGAAUGAAUUAAUCUUAACCAAGAGCCACAGCUCUAAGUAUUAGAAUAUCUAACAUACAUUGAUCCAAUCCUAUUGAUCAACGAACCAAGUUACCCUGGGGAUAACAGCGCAAUCCAUUUCAAGAGUCCAUAUCGACAAAUGGGUUUACGACCUCGAUGUUGGAUCAGGGCAUCCCAGUGGUGCAGCCGCUACUAAAGGUUCGUUUGUUCAACGAUUAAAGCCCUACGUGAUCUGAGUUCAGACCGGAGUAAUCCAGGUCAGUUUCUAUCUAUGCAGUCUUUUUCCUAGUACGAAAGGACCGGAAAAACAGAGCCUCUAACCUGUCAAGCUCUAACCUUAAAUUAGUGAAAACAUCUCAACUAAGAAAAGGCCUAAUAAACAACCCUAAACAAGGGCA
This 740-nucleotide ribosomal RNA is filed under the name Scaphiopus hurterii (Hurter's solitary spadefoot). Its description in RNAcentral is "partial 16S ribosomal RNA". It matches the Rfam family "Bacterial large subunit ribosomal RNA", at positions 1816 to 2830 of the family's 2925-position model. Lineage: Eukaryota; Metazoa; Chordata; Amphibia; Anura; Pelobatidae. The record is from RNAcentral.